UGCUCUUAUUGAAAAUUUUCUGCGUAAAAUUUUCUGUAAUAUUGUUUCUCAACUCCAUGAAAUCAGCUUUAAUUUUCACUUUUUGAUGACACAUCCCCACUCUGUUUAGGUAAAAAACAAAGCAAACAACCAUGAAACCAAAAUUAUAUAAGAAGUACAUAUUAUUCUAGCAGCUUGGCACGUUGUAAACUCUUGUCUGUGCCUAGAUCCUGACUUAGAAUUCACGUUCGAUACUUCUCUGGAAGACGUCUGUGUGAAUGAGAAAUUCACAAUUAAAAAUAUGAGGACAAGGCAACACGGGAUCUGACCCGCAUCUGCAACUGACACCACAGCUCAAGGCAACGCUGGAUCGUCAACCCACUGAACAAGGCCAGGGAUCGAACCCACAACCUCAUAGUUCCUAGUCGGAUUCGUUAACCACUGCGCCACGACGGGAACUCCUCUAAUGGUGUUGUUUUAAUUAUUUUUUUUAUCAAGUGGGAGCUGUUCUGUUAUGUACUUGGAUGUAAAACAUAUAUAUACAUAUAUAUUUCAGUGAGUUCUGUAUGUUCAUUUGAAACUUGUCAAGUGCUUAGGUUAUUUUAUAGUUUGUAGUACUUCAAGAGAAAUAUCACAGUGCCUUAUGGAAGCAUCAUGUAACUUAAGAGUAGUUUUAUGAAAUACAUUUUUCAGAGUAAGCAUACUUGACAGUUCCACGUCAGUUUUCCUUUGAACUUCUGCGAACAAAAUAUUUAGCAUAUUGUGUGGUUUAGUCUCCCAAAUGGCCUAUGGGUUAAAUUGCUAAUUAUAGUGUUUAAAUGUAUUGUUUUUUUUCUUUUGUUUAAUAGUCCUGAGUUUACAUCUUUAUAUACACACUUUCCUGAUUAUAUAAUGGGAUCUCUGAUCAUUUGGGCUCUCGGCUUUGCCUCGCUUUAUUACUUAGAAAAAGCUCCCUAAGAAAGUUGAGUUAUAGUUAAGUGAAAAAUUUUUUUCACUUUACCUUGUUUUAGUUAAUACAGUAAAAUAUUCUGUUAUACUGAGCUGUCUCCCACCCUUUAGAAAAUACAUGCCAUGAUUUCUUUGAAAAUUAUACAUUUAUUAUAAAUGUAAAUUUUUUUCUGAUGAACAUGUACUUAUCAGUUUUGAAUGUUUUAGAAUCCAGGUAAAUGAUAAAAUGUCCCCACCCCCUUAUUUUCCACUUAGCAUUUGUUAUUUGAUUGAGAACAUAGUAUAAAGUUGGAUUUUUGGAUAAUAUUUGAAUAUAUUCUGAAAUUAAACUCCAACUAUUUUCUGUCAGGUUUGAAGAUUUGCACUCUCUCAUAAUUAUUUGCUAUGCAUUUGGCAUAAAUUUUUUAACUUCUCCCUGUUUCAUUAUAUCUUUCUCAUCUCAUCAUAUCCCCCCCCAAAAAAAUUAUUUUCUGUAUGUAGGCAGCCAGCAGCUGCAGCUCUGAUUGGACCCCUAGCCUGGGAACUUUCAUAUGCUGCAGGUGCAGCCCUAAAACGACAAAAAAAAAAAAAAAGAAAAACAAAAAACACCUCUGGAGGAAGAACAUUCUAAGGAGAGAGACUGCCCAAAAAAAGCUCCAAGAUAGUGGUAAGCGUGGUCUGUUCCGACUCCAACAAAACUGCCAGUGACCAUGUCCCUGGUCCUGACCAAGGAGACUUGAGGACACAUUUGCUGAAGCGUAUCUGGAGACAGCUGCCUGUGAAUUAAAGAGCCCUCUUUCCCACCCACUGUCUGUCUUUUCUUCCUGUCUUGACACAGUUAGGGGAGGACACCGUGGCCAGAGCUGUGAAAAGCCGUUUUGCAAACAUGAGGCAAGAAGCAACUUCACUCUCCAUCAAACAGAACCAAAGAUUGGAGUCAGGAGCGGGAGAUUCUGAGAGCUCACUCCUAAACCGAGCACAGAGAGGUUGAGUAGCUUGCCGGACAUCACACAGCUCAUAUGGUGUAGAGUUAGGGACUUGAGCCCUGGUAUUUUACCUCCAAAUAGCUGCUUUUAUUUUUUGCACUGCCUCCUUUCCUUACCCACGGCCCUCUUCUCCAGCCAUGUGUGCUCCCUUUUAUUUAGUUCAUUCUGGGUAGGAAAGCUCAGUUCUCCCAGUCACCACAUGGUGUUGAGGACAGAACUUGGCUUUUGAAAUCAGACAGACGUGGUUGGAAUUGCCCAGUGUUCAACUGCAGAAUCCUUGCGAGGGUUGAGAAAAUGAAGCUGGCCUGAGCUUCCAGAACCAGUACCAAAGCCACACUGCUGACCCGAACUGCCAGGAGAGCUGCUGGCUGCAGCUCAGUGCCACUGUCCUGGUCUAGGGGGCAGCCAGCAUAAUCGGGAAGCAGCCACUGCCGCUCCAGCCUGUCAACGUGUCUGCCCCAAUCCACGCCACAGAAUGAGAGCCCGACUCCUUAUCUCAUCCGGGGCCUGUUUUGCUCUUUCCACCACAUCACCGGUGUUCUGCAGCAUCAGUGCCAUUGUCUUCUUGUUGCUGUUAGCCCUCUCACCUCCCUAGUGCCAGAAAUACUACUCCCGGAGCAUGUCCCCUGUCACUGGUUCCCACCCGCCCCAGCUCACCACAGUGACAGUUUUCCCAGAUUCUCCCUCCGCCAUUCCUGCCAUCCUUGCUUCCAGACAGGUGUGUGCCCUGGAAACACUCCCUGACAAACUUUCAACACACAACCCUCUGCCUCAGCGCCUGUUCACAGCGAUCUCAGUCCAAAGCAUUUGGUACUGGAAGUGGUCCUGGGAAACCGACCCUGAAAUGGAAGUUUAAUGACUCAGCCUUAAAAAAGGAUGAAAUAGUGCCAUUUGCAGCAACAUGGAUGGACCUAGAGAAGAUCAUACGGAGUGAGGUAAGCUAGACAGAGAAAGACAAAUACUGUAUGCUAUCACUAUAUGUGGAAUCCUAAAAAGUGAUUCAAAUGAACUUAUUUACAAAACAGAAGCAGACUCACAGACAUAGAAAACAAACUUAUAAUUACCAAAGGGGGAAGGAUAAAUUAGAAUACAUUUAGCAGAUACAACCUACUAUGUAUAAAAUAGGUAAACAACAAAGUCCUCCUGUGUAGUACAGGGAACUAUACUCAAUAUCCUGUAAUAGACCAUGAUGGAAAAGAAUCUGUAUGGCUGAACCACUUUGGAGUUCCUGCUGUGGCUCGGUGGGCUGAGAACCCAACAGUGUCCGCAGGGUGUGGGUUUGAUCCCUGGCCUCACUCAGUCGGUUAAGGAUCAGGCAUUGCUGCCAGCUGCAGUGUAGGUCACAGAUGUGGCUUGGAUCCAGUGGUGCUGUGGCUGUGGUGUAGGCUGGCAGCUGUAGUUCCAAUUUGACCCCUAGCCCAGGAACGUCCUUGUGCCACAGCUGCAACUGUAAAAAGAAAAAAAAUAUAGUAACUGAACCACUUGGUUGGACGUCAGAAACUAACACGACAUUGUCAGUCAACUGUACUUUAAUUAAAAAUAAUUAAUUAAAUUACCUGGUGGUGCAGUGGGUUAAAGAUACAGCACUGUGGAGUUCCCUUCUUGGCGCAGCUGAAAUGAAUCUGACUAGGAACUGUGAGGUUGUGGGUUCGAUCCAUGGCCCCGCUCAUUGGGUUGGAGAUCUGGCAUUGCCGUAAGCUGCGGUGUAGGUCACAGACGUGGCUUGGAUCUGCUAUUGCUGUGGCUGUGAUAUGGGCUGGCAGCUGUCGCUCUGAUUCGAUCCCUAGCCUGAGAACCUCCAUAUGCUGCCAGGGAGGUGCUAAAACGCAAAAAAAAAAAAAAAAAAAAAAAAAAAAA
RNAcentral lists this long non-coding RNA (3749 nucleotides) under Sus scrofa (pig). Its description in RNAcentral is "lncRNA (ENSSSCG00025057412.1)". Lineage: Eukaryota; Metazoa; Chordata; Mammalia; Artiodactyla; Suidae. The record is from RNAcentral.